CCACGGGCCCCGUCCUCGACCUCCUCCGCCUCCUCCGUCAAUAUCCCUAUGCUUAAUCGAUUUGGGAGGACCUUCGAUUAGUCUUUGAAACCCAACCUGAUGGGGAUUGCUUGCACACAAGAUGCUUGGUGAGAUUUCUUGCACACAAGGUGUUUGAUAUAAUGCAUUGGUGAAAACCCAGAGAUGAUUAGUUGUUCAGAAUAAUAGUUUUGAUUUGUCUUAGUGAGUGCAUUCUGUGGUGAGAGAGGAAUAGACAGUUGAAGUUUUUGAUAAUGGAAUGCUCUAUGAAGGAGUGCCUGAAGAUAGAAUGGUGAAGCUUCUUCAGAUUGCAUUGAAGUGCAUAUACAAAUCUGCCGAUGCUCGACCAACUAUGAGCCAACUUGCCGAGAUGAUACAUUCAUUGAAGGAAGAAGAGGAUAGGUCUGUUUUUAUAAUGUCCUAGAAUUUAUGUAUAUGUUCCGUUUGACUAUUAUUAUUUGCUAGUGUAUAUGUGUUGGUCACAUAUGAGGAGGUGGAAAACAUUGUUUAUUUGUUACACUGAUGACAUAGGUGAUAUUAGUCCAAAUGGUA
Asparagus officinalis (garden asparagus) is the source of this 570-nucleotide long non-coding RNA. RefSeq lists it as uncharacterized. The record is from RefSeq and is a predicted model, not a curated record. The transcript has 4 exons. Lineage: Eukaryota; Viridiplantae; Streptophyta; Magnoliopsida; Asparagales; Asparagaceae.